GUACAAGCUACAGCGGUACAUAUUCUAAAAUUGGAACGAUACAGAGAAGAUUAGCAUGGCCCCUGCACAAGGAUAGCAUGCAAAUUCAUGAAGCGUUCCAUAUUUUU
RNAcentral lists this small nuclear RNA (107 nucleotides) under Octopus vulgaris (common octopus). The record is from RNAcentral. RNAcentral also lists the same sequence under 1 other name. Lineage: Eukaryota; Metazoa; Mollusca; Cephalopoda; Octopoda; Octopodidae.